UUGUUCGUUUCUUUGCUUGUUUAUCAUGUGAAUGUUCAGCUGAUAUGUGAAUCUAACAGGCAUGGUAAUCCAUUGCCGCUGUUGUAUGUAUAUGGUAAAGGAAACAGAACAAAUCAACUUUUGUUUUGUUUUGUUUUGUUUUGUUUUGUUUAAAUAAAAAGUCAACAUGGCAAGACACUCACUUCUGCUCUGACUGACUCACUCUCAGUUUCAGUUCCAGGAAUGCCUAAGAGGGCAGCGUCAUCCCCUCCAAAACAUUUUUUCUUUUCAUAUGGGAUUAUAUCAGCAAGCAGCUGCCUCUAAACCAUUAUUUUUGCCAGACUGUCAGGCUGGCUGUGCCAGCUUCUCCCCGAAAGUAUUACAGGGACAGGGUAUCCCUACCGAAUAAGCCCUGGGGUAGCAGAGCUUUGCAGCUGGGGAGCCCCGAAGGGCAGCGCUGUUGCCAGCUGUGCAGCCUCCAGGGGAGCCGGGGCUGGGCGGAGGGGCCUGAUGAGUGCUCCUCUGCUCUCCUCUGCGCACUGCAAAUGAGAAAUACAGCGGCUAGCUACCAUGGAAAAUGUGUGUCCUUGCUGGAGCCCUGCAGCGUCACCCUGGCCCGGCUGGAGGGGCAUCCCUGCACCCAGGGAGCGGUCUGCGCGCUCCUCCUGGCGGCUCCGCUGCCGAGCCCUCAGCCCCCUGCAGCCUGGCCGGCCCAACAGGCAGCGCGGCGCUGCGCCCAGCCCUCACACCCGGCACUGCUCAGCGUUGUGUGGGGAGUGGGGCAGGCUUGUGAAAUAUGAGGAUUCGAUCAAACUCUGAGGUUACAGAGAGCCGGCGGCUGACUUUGAAUAUUAAGUAAGGAAGACUUUUUAAAAUGUAUUGUUGGUAACAGCUGUCAAUCUCAACCAAG
This is a long non-coding RNA of Anas platyrhynchos (mallard), 889 nucleotides long. RefSeq lists it as uncharacterized. NCBI's taxonomy places the organism in Eukaryota, Metazoa, Chordata, Aves, Anseriformes, Anatidae. The record is from RefSeq and is a predicted model, not a curated record.